RNAcentral lists this ribosomal RNA (225 nucleotides) under uncultured Fluviicola sp. RNAcentral's name for it is "partial 16S ribosomal RNA". It matches the Rfam family "Bacterial small subunit ribosomal RNA", at positions 568 to 792 of the family's 1533-position model. Lineage: Bacteria; Pseudomonadati; Bacteroidota; Flavobacteriia; Flavobacteriales; Crocinitomicaceae. The record is from RNAcentral.
UCCGCAGGCGGGUUUAUAAGUCAGUGGUGAAAGCCUACAGCUCAACUGUAGAACUGCCAUUGAUACUGUAGAUCUUGAAUUCGGUCGAAGUGGGCGGAAUAUGACAUGUAGCGGUGAAAUGCUUAGAUAUGUCAUAGAACACCGAUAGCGAAGGCAGCUCACUAGGCCUGGAUUGACGCUCAGGGACGAAAGCGUGGGGAGCAAACAGGAUUAGAUACCCCAGUA